GCUUGCUUCUAUGACGUUAGCGGCGGACGGGUGAGUAACACGUGGGCAACCUGCCUGUAAGACUGGGAUAACUUCGGGAAACCGAAGCUAAUACCGGAUAGGAUCUUCUCCUUCAUGGGAGAUGAUUGAAAGAUGGUUUCGGCUAUCACUUACAGAUGGGCCCGCGGUGCAUUAGCUAGUUGGUGAGGUAACGGCUCACCAAGGCAACGAUGCAUAGCCGACCUGAGAGGGUGAUCGGCCACACUGGGACUGAGACACGGCCCAGACUCCUACGGGAGGCAGCAGUAGGGAAUCUUCCGCAAUGGACGAAAGUCUGACGGAGCAACGCCGCGUGAGUGAUGAAGGCUUUCGGGUCGUAAAACUCUGUUGUUAGGGAAGAACAAGUACGAGAGUAACUGCUUGUACCUUGACGGUACCUAACCAGAAAGCCACGGCUAACUACGUGCCAGCAGCCGCGGUAAUACGUAGGUGGCAAGCGUUAUCCGGAAUUAUUGGGCGUAAAGCGCGCGCAGGCGGUUUCUUAAGUCUGAUGUGAAAGCCCACGGCUCAACCGUGGAGGGUCAUUGGAAACUGGGGAACUUGAGUGCAGAAGAGAAAAGCGGAAUUCCACGUGUAGCGGUGAAAUGCGUA
Molecule: ribosomal RNA, 630 nt
Filed under: Bacillus sp. (in: firmicutes)
Lineage: Bacteria; Bacillati; Bacillota; Bacilli; Caryophanales; Bacillaceae
Description: bacterial SSU rRNA
Rfam family: Bacterial small subunit ribosomal RNA
Source: RNAcentral